UACGUAGGAGACGAGCGUUGUCCGGAAUUACUGGGCGUAAAGCGCGUGUAGGCGGAUGAGCAAGUCUGCUGUGAAAGCUCCUGGCUUAACCGGGAGUGGUCGGUGGAAACUGCUCGUCUGGAGGACGGUAGAGGUAGGUAGAAUUCCCGGUGUAGUGGUGAAAUGCGUAGAGAUCGGGAGGAAUACCUGUGGCGAAGGCGGCCUACUGGGCCGGACCUGACGCUGAGACGCGAAAGCGUGGGGAGCAAACAGG
This 253-nucleotide ribosomal RNA is filed under the name uncultured bacterium. RNAcentral describes it as "partial 16S ribosomal RNA". It matches the Rfam family "Bacterial small subunit ribosomal RNA", at positions 524 to 776 of the family's 1533-position model. The record is from RNAcentral.